Macrobrachium nipponense is the source of this 592-nucleotide long non-coding RNA. RefSeq lists it as uncharacterized. The transcript has 3 exons. Lineage: Eukaryota; Metazoa; Arthropoda; Malacostraca; Decapoda; Palaemonidae. The record is from RefSeq and is a predicted model, not a curated record.
AUGACGGGAUGGUCACUUUGUGUAAAAAGUAAUAAGUCAAAACUGGAGAUACUAUUAAGCUUUCGGGAAAGUACGAAGUCUUGUAGAAAAAUUUAACUUCUGUAAAAGUGUUGGUGCAACUGUGAAACUGCUGUUUGAUUGUUAAAAGGGCCUUUGACCUCAGUAUAAGAAACUGCGAGCUGUAUAUUUCAGAAGCUGGGAUCACUCACUGGCAGACAGACAGCGCACAGGAAUUGAAGCUCCAGCUCAUCGGAGGAAGAAACGAAAAAAAAUUGUUCUCGUUUAAAAUUACAAGAAUACCUUAAUUAUUUAUUUAUUUCUUUUUUGAAAAAGGUGAUUAUUGUUUAGUUGCUGUUAAAUUGCUGUCCCAUGAUAUUCCUCGUUCUGACUUUUAAAUAACAGAAUUAGUCAAUUAUUGUUGGCAAUAUUCAAGAGGAUUUUUCUUUAGUCUGGUGGCCCUUGAAUGUAAGGGCUUAGCUUUCAUUGAAAAAGGGAAAACGAAAACACAUCACUGUGGCCGUAAAGAAAAUAACAAUUAUUGUCAAGGUAAAAAAAAAAGAUACUCUGUAGAAUGUAUCAAUUGUACAUUGUA